AACGAACGCUGGCGGCGCGCCUAACACAUGCAAGUCGAACGAGGAAUCCGGGGCAACCCGGUAGUAAAGUGGCAAACGGGUGAGGAAUACAUGGGUAACCUACCCUUGAGAAGGGAAUAACCCGCCGAAAGGUGAGCUAAUACCCUAUACGCUAUCUUUUUUUCGAAAGGAUAGAAGCCGGUCGAGGACCUGGUACUCAAGGAGGGCGUCAUGUCCUAUCAGCUUGUUGGUGGGGUAACGGGACCUACCCAAGGCGUACGACGGGUAGCUGGUCUGAGAGGAUGAUCAGCCACACUGGCACUGAGAUACGGGCCGAGACUCCUACGGGAGGGCAGCAGUGAGGGAAUAUUGCGCAAUGGGCGAAAGCCUGACGCAGCGACGCCGCGUGGGGGA
Molecule: ribosomal RNA, 393 nt
Filed under: uncultured bacterium
Lineage: Bacteria
Description: bacterial SSU rRNA
Rfam family: Bacterial small subunit ribosomal RNA
Source: RNAcentral